Molecule: long non-coding RNA, 283 nt
Organism: Cyprinus carpio (common carp)
Lineage: Eukaryota; Metazoa; Chordata; Actinopteri; Cypriniformes; Cyprinidae
Exons: 3
Source: RefSeq, a predicted model, not a curated record
CAAACUUACUCUUAAGCGAUACUUAACUGCAGUGGAAACGCAUACUGUGCCGAGCCGAACUGUACCAUACUGAGCCGUGCCGAGCAGAGUCGAGUGCUAUCACGCAGUGGAAAAGCGCCAUAUGAUUACAGACGGAGGAUUCCUGGUUUUAUCUCUGACGUCAUCAUCAUGAGAUUGUCUCCAGUUUUCCAACAUAUGCUGGUGUUCAUAUCAGUCCUGUCACUCACCAGAGUACAAACAACAGCAGGUAAUAGUUUUUUUUUUUUUUUUUUUUUUAAACUGG